This 864-nucleotide ribosomal RNA is filed under the name Leptographium latens. Its description in RNAcentral is "LSU rRNA". It matches the Rfam family "Eukaryotic large subunit ribosomal RNA", at positions 74 to 965 of the family's 3401-position model. The record is from RNAcentral. Lineage: Eukaryota; Fungi; Ascomycota; Sordariomycetes; Ophiostomatales; Ophiostomataceae.
AUUGCCCCAGUAACGGCGAGUGAAGCGGCAACAGCUCAGAUUUGGAAUCUGGCCCCCAGGGCCCGAGUUGUAAUCUGGAGAGGAUGCUUCUGGCGCGGCGCCUUCCGAGUUCCCUGGAACGGGACGCCGGAGAGGGUGAGAGCCCCGUACGGUUGGACGCCUAGCCUUUGUGAAGCUCCUUCGACGAGUCGAGUAGUUUGGGAAUGCUGCUCAAAAUGGGAGGUAAAUUUCUUCUAAAGCUAAAUACCGGCCAGAGACCGAUAGCGCACAAGUAGAGUGAUCGAAAGAUGAAAAGCACUUUGAAAAGAGGGUCAAACAGUACGUGAAAUUGUUGAAAGGGAAGCGCCCGUGGCCAGACUUGUGCCCCGCGGACCACCCGGCGCCCUCAGCGCCGGUGCACUCCGCGGGGCGCAGGCCAGCAUCGGUUUUCCUAGGGGGAUAAAGGCGGCGGGAACGUGGCUCCUUCGGGAGUGUUAUAGCCCGUCGUGCCAUGCCCCUGGGGGGACCGAGGACCGCGCUUCGGCAAGGAUGCUGGCGUAAUGGCCACCGGCGACCCGUCUUGAAACACGGACCAAGGAGUCAAGCAUUGGGGCGAGUGUCUGGGUGCCAAACCCGCACGCGAAAUGAAAGUGAACGCAGGUGAGAGCUUCGGCGCAUCAUCGACCGAUCCUGAUGUUCUCGGAUGGAUUUGAGUAAGAGCCUUACCGCUUGGACCCGAAAGAUGGUGAACUAUGCCUGUAUAGGGUGAAGCCAGAGGAAACUCUGGUGGAGGCUCGCAGCGGUUCUGACGUGCAAAUCGAUCGUCAAAUAUGGGCAUGGGGGCGAAAGACUAAUCGAACCAUCUAGUAGCUGGUUACCGCCGAA